UAUCUAAUCCGUAAACGAUGGUUACUAGCUGUUCGGACUUCGGUCUGAGUGGCUAAGCGAAAGUGAUAAGUAACCCACCUGGGGAGUACGUUCGCAAGAAUGAAACUCAAAGGAAUUGACGGGGGCCCGCACAAGCGGUGGAGCAUGUGGUUUAAUUCGAUGAUACGCGAGGAACCUUACCAGGGCUUAAAUGUAGAUUGACAGGUUUAGAGAUAGACUUUUCUUCGGACAAUUUACAAGGUGCUGCAUGGUUGUCGUCAGCUCGUGCCGUGAGGUGUCAGGUUAAGUCCUAUAACGAGCGCAACCCCUGUUGUUAGUUGCCAGCGAGUCAAGUCGGGAACUCUAACAAGACUGCCAGUGCAAACUGCGAGGAAGGUGGGGAUGACGUCAAAUCAUCACGGCCCUUACGUCCUGGGCCACACACGUGCUACAAUGGUAGGGACAGAGAGCAGCCACAAUGCGAAUUGGAGCGAAUCUAUAAACCCUAUCUCAGUUCGGAUCGGAGU
Molecule: ribosomal RNA, 506 nt
Filed under: uncultured bacterium
Lineage: Bacteria
Description: bacterial SSU rRNA
Rfam family: Bacterial small subunit ribosomal RNA
Source: RNAcentral